Molecule: ribosomal RNA, 1382 nt
Filed under: Triticum aestivum (bread wheat)
Lineage: Eukaryota; Viridiplantae; Streptophyta; Magnoliopsida; Poales; Poaceae
Description: partial small subunit ribosomal RNA
Source: RNAcentral
CACAUCUUUCCGACACAUAAAAUGAAAUCCUCUUUCCCAUUCACGCUUUCACACAUACACAUGUUGCUCUUGGUCUUGCCCUUGCCCGAUCCCCUUUCUCACUCCAAAAUUUCUGCUUCCGGUAGCUCCCAUCAGCUUGAUUCCUUGAUUCCCUGCCUUGAGCUUGCUUGUCCUCACCUGUAGCCACCCCCGCAGCUCGAUUCGCUUGUGCGGCCAUAGGGUGAACUUCGACGGUGGCUUGUUUGUCUCCUCGUACGCCUCCUCGGUCUCCUCCUAGGCUGGUAAUGGCGAUGGAGGGGUAGCAGGCCCAAGGUGUAGCUGCGCAAGGGAAGAGGUGAGAUCAUCAAGCUGCACGGUUUUGUUGCUGUCAAUAUCCGUGCAGGUGAUUUUGCCGUGGAUUUCUUCUCCCACAGCUGCUUUGAUCCAUCUUUAGUAUGAGGAUAGUGUAGUCGUUUUCUGCCCCAGCGCCGGCCAGACACAUCCUCCACAUCGGCAACAUUCUUCGAACUUUGAAGCGUGUUGCCCUACAGCAGAAAUAAGGAGGAGUUACAUGAACUGGGAACGAUUGGAUUGGACGUGGGGAGAGAAAAAGGAAAUGUUACCUCGCUGUUGGCGGGAAAGAGUAGUAAAGCUCCAACCUCAAUAUCGUCCUUGAUGAAGAGGUCGAAUUAUGGCCACUUACAGGGUAUGUGUAUGGUGUGUAUCUCAAGUCUCAACUCUCACAUGGUUGGUCUUCUAAUCUCCCUCUAGCCGGCUGACAGUGGGCAUGCACAACUCUAUUCACCCGACAUUGCUAGCGUGCAUGAAGGAUAGGCUUUGAGCCCAUCAAUCGUGUGUAACCUACUGAUCUGCUGAGUUGAGGUGCAUGGUAUAUGAUAAAAUGCCGAUCUGCUGAGUUGAGAUGCAUGAUGGAUAGCCACCGAGAUGUAGAUUAACCUUUUUUUUGAACAAACAUAGAUCAACUUGAUUUCACCGCUAUUGCUUUUCAAUCAUCAAGCACGCAGAUUGUAGCUAGGAGCAAGACCUUAUUAGAAUGAAGUAAUCAUCUGCUCCAGAGAGCCAGCGGUGCAUGGCUGCUCAAGGGACCAUGCCUUAGGCGCAGCCAGCCGUCGGCGACUUGACAACUGGGAUACGAUUUUCUUCUUUUCAUUUACGGACGGGAGGACGACCAAUCGGCCGACGGCAACUUGAUAAACUCAUGGAACGGGCACCCUUUUCAAUCACGUACGGGAGGACGGCCGCCGUCUGGCGGCGACUUGACAACAUGGAAUAGGGAUAUUUUUCUUUUCAAUCUAGGACGGGGAGAACAAUAUUCUAGGUCCUAAGUAUAUGUUUCCAUGGCAUAGGUGGGUAAUUUUGACCAAGUAAGACUUUGGAUGAUC